UUAAGUCUGUGUAUGUGUGCGCGUGGUUAAGAGGGAGAAAGGAGAAGAAAAUAGUUCUUCAUCUUACAUCAAUAAAAUUCAGCAAUUGGUAAAAGAAAAUGGAUGGAUCAUAUGCAUGAACCCUAAUAUUGAUCAACUAAGCUUUUGCAACAAAAGAGAUGAAGGAAGAAGUGUCGAGCCACACGAAGCAACAAGGAGCCCAAGACCAAGGUAAAACCGCACUUUGAGCGGACUCGCGAUGCUUGGAACGAACACACGCGCAAGCUUCCUUCUUGCCCUUAAUGCGCUUCCGAAAUAACUUAUGUUAUGGGUCAAAACGUUUGGUUGUCUAUAUAGUUAAAAUCUAGUGAUUAAUUAUGUUCCAAAACAUGUACUUUAUAAUUUUUGUAAAAUGGUAAAUGGUUAAAUCUGGCGUUAAGAACUUAGCUUUGUAUAUUUUGAUCAAAUAUUUAAGUAAAGUUUAAAAGUUCAA
RNAcentral lists this long non-coding RNA (472 nucleotides) under Helianthus annuus (common sunflower). RNAcentral's name for it is "sRNA HanXRQr2_Chr12g0547811". Lineage: Eukaryota; Viridiplantae; Streptophyta; Magnoliopsida; Asterales; Asteraceae. The record is from RNAcentral.